ACAACUGGAAAGGAGACAGAGUGUGGCUCAUCUGGGGUUUUGGUGAUGGGAAGAGACUGUUCAGUUGCUGUGGCAGUGUCAGCAGCUGCUCCUGCAGAGAGAUGGAAAAGAAGGAAACAAGGAGGAAACUUCCUAGCCAUCCAAUCAUCUUUUCAGCAACCUCCUCCUCAUUGCCGACAUUGUGUUUGAAUAUUAGGAGUUUCUGUUGCAGCUAAAA
This is a long non-coding RNA of Ornithorhynchus anatinus (platypus), 217 nucleotides long. RefSeq lists it as uncharacterized. The record is from RefSeq and is a predicted model, not a curated record. NCBI's taxonomy places the organism in Eukaryota, Metazoa, Chordata, Mammalia, Monotremata, Ornithorhynchidae. The transcript is spliced from 2 exons.